Molecule: ribosomal RNA, 558 nt
Filed under: uncultured bacterium
Lineage: Bacteria
Description: bacterial SSU rRNA
Rfam family: Bacterial small subunit ribosomal RNA
Source: RNAcentral
AUGCAAGUCGAGCGGUAACAUUUCUAGCUUGCUAGAAGAUGACGAGCGGCGGACGGGUGAGUAACGCGUAGGAAUCUGCCUAGUAGUGGGGGACAACAUGUGGAAACGCAUGCUAAUACCGCAUACGCCCUACGGGGGAAAGGAGGGGAUCUUCGGACCUUUCGCUAUUAGAUGAGCCUGCGUGAGAUUAGCUAGUUGGUGGGGUAAAGGCCUACCAAGGCGACGAUCUCUAGCUGGUCUGAGAGGAUGAUCAGCCACACUGGGACUGAGACACGGCCCAGACUCCUACGGGAGGCAGCAGUGGGGAAUAUUGGACAAUGGGCGCAAGCCUGAUCCAGCCAUGCCGCGUGUGUGAAGAAGGCCUUAGGGUUGUAAAGCACUUUCAGGAGUGAGGAAGGGCGUGCAGUUAAUACCUGUAUGUCUUGACGUUAACUCCAGAAGAAGCACCGGCUAACUCUGUGCCAGCAGCCGCGGUAAUACAGAGGGUGCGAGCGUUAAUCGGAAUUACUGGGCGUAAAGCGCGCGUAGGCGGUUUGUUAAGUCGGAUGUGAAAUCCCA